UUUUACAAUGGAGAGUUUGAUCCUGGCUCAGGAUGAACGCUAGCGGCAGGCCUAAUACAUGCAAGUCGGACGGGAUCCGUCGGAGAGCUUGCUCGAAGACGGUGAGAGUGGCGCACGGGUGCGUAACGCGUGAGCAACCUACCUCUAUCAGGGGGAUAGCCUCUCGAAAGAGAGAUUAACACCGCAUAACAUAUCUGACCGGCAUCGGUUUGAUAUUAAAUAUUUAUAGGAUAGAGAUGGGCUCGCGUGACAUUAGCUAGUUGGUAGGGUAACGGCUUACCAAGGCGACGAUGUCUAGGGGCUCUGAGAGGAGAAUCCCCCACACUGGUACUGAGACACGGACCAGACUCCUACGGGAGGCAGCAGUAAGGAAUAUUGGUCAAUGGGCGGAAGCCUGAACCAGCCAUGCCGCGUGCAGGAUGACUGCCCUAUGGGUUGUAAACUGCUUUUGUCCAGGAAUAAACCUAGAUACGUGUAUCUAGCUGAAUGUACUGGAAGAAUAAGGAUCGGCUAACUCCGUGCCAGCAGCCGCGGUAAUACGGAGGAUCCGAGCGUUAUCCGGAUUUAUUGGGUUUAAAGGGUGCGUAGGCGGCCUAUUAAGUCAGGGGUGAAAUACGGUGGCUCAACCAUCGCAGUGCCUUUGAUACUGAUGGGCUUGAAUCCAUUUGAAGUGGGCGGAAUAAGACAAGUAGCGGUGAAAUGCAUAGAUAUGUCUUAGAACUCCGAUUGCGAAGGCAGCUCACUAAGCUGGUAUUGACGCUGAUGCACGAAAGCGUGGGGAUCGAACAGGAUUAGAUACCCUGGUAGUCCACGCCCUAAACGAUGAUAACUCGAUGUUGGCGAUAGACAGCCAGCGUCCAAGCGAAAGCGUUAAGUUAUCCACCUGGGGAGUACGCCCGCAAGGGUGAAACUCAAAGGAAUUGACGGGGGCCCGCACAAGCGGAGGAGCAUGUGGUUUAAUUCGAUGAUACGCGAGGAACCUUACCCGGGCUUGAAAGUUAGUGAAGAGUGCAGAGACGCACUCGUCCUUCGGGACACGAAACUAGGUGCUGCAUGGCUGUCGUCAGCUCGUGCCGUGAGGUGUUGGGUUAAGUCCCGCAACGAGCGCAACCCCUAUGUUUAGUUGCCAGCA
Molecule: ribosomal RNA, 1132 nt
Filed under: Sphingobacterium siyangense
Lineage: Bacteria; Pseudomonadati; Bacteroidota; Sphingobacteriia; Sphingobacteriales; Sphingobacteriaceae
Description: bacterial SSU rRNA
Rfam family: Bacterial small subunit ribosomal RNA
Source: RNAcentral